CUAUGGAUGCUAGCUGUUGGUCGUAUCGACCCGAUCAGUAGCGAAGCUAACGCGUUAAGCAUCCCGCCUGUGGAGUACGAGCGCAAGCUUAAAACAUAAAGGAAUUGACGGGGACCCGCACAAGCGGUGGAGCGUGUUGUUUAAUUCGAUGAUAAGCGAAGAACCUUACCCAGACUUGACAUCCUUGGAAAGACUACGAAAGUAGACUGUGUCUUCGGAAGCCAAGUGACAGGUGUUGCAUGGCCGUCGUCAGCUCGUGUCGUGAGAUGUUUGGUUAAGUCCAUCAACGAGCGCAACCCUUAUAGUUAGUUGUAUUUUUCUAGCUAGACUGCCCUGGCAACAGGGAGGAAGGAGGGGAUGAUGUCAGGUCAGUAUUACCCUUACGUCUGGGGCUACAAACACGCUACAAUGGCCGGUACAAAGGGACGCCAACCCGCGAGGGGGAGCAAAUCCCAUCAAAGCCGGUCUCAGUUCGGAUUGCAGGCUGAAACUCGCCUGCAUGAAGCUGGAAUCGCUAGUAACGGUAAGUCAGCACAUUACCGUGAAUACGUUCCCGGGUCUUGUACACACCGCCCGUCAAACCAUGAAAGUCGCCAAUACCUGACGUCCUAGCUUGUCUAGGCCUAAGGUAGGGGAGAUGAUUGGGGUUAAGUCGUAACAAGGUAACC
Molecule: ribosomal RNA, 668 nt
Filed under: uncultured bacterium
Lineage: Bacteria
Description: bacterial SSU rRNA
Rfam family: Bacterial small subunit ribosomal RNA
Source: RNAcentral